GAUGAACGCUGGCGGCGUGCCUAAUACAUGCAAGUCGAGCGAACAGACGAGGAGCUUGCUCCUCUGACGUUAGCGGCGGACGGGUGAGUAACACGUGGAUAACCUACCUAUAAGACUGGGAUAACUUCGGGAAACCGGAGCUAAUACCGGAUAAUAUAUUGAACCGCAUGGUUCAAUAGUGAAAGACGGUUUUGCUGUCACUUAUAGAUGGAUCCGCGCCGCAUUAGCUAGUUGGUAAGGUAACGGCUUACCAAGGCAACGAUGCGUAGCCGACCUGAGAGGGUGAUCGGCCACACCUGAACUGAGACACGGUCCAGACUCCUAAGGGAGGCAGCAGGAGGGAAUCUUCCGCAAUGGGCGAAAGCCUGACGGAGCAACGCCGCGGGAGUGAUGAAGGUCUUCGGAUCGGAAAACCCUGUUAUUAGGGAAGAACAAAUGUGUAAGUAACUAUGCACGGCUUGACGGUACCUAAUCAGAAAGCCACGGCUAACUACGUG
Molecule: ribosomal RNA, 497 nt
Filed under: uncultured bacterium
Lineage: Bacteria
Description: partial 16S ribosomal RNA
Rfam family: Bacterial small subunit ribosomal RNA
Source: RNAcentral